GGGGGCAUAGCUCAGUGGUCGAGUGCACAUUUAGCAUGCACGAGGUCCUGGGUUCAAUCCCCAGUAUCUCCA
RNAcentral lists this transfer RNA (72 nucleotides) under Camelus bactrianus (Bactrian camel). It matches the Rfam family "tRNA". From Rfam's summary of the family: Transfer RNA (tRNA) molecules are approximately 80 nucleotides in length. Their secondary structure includes four short double-helical elements and three loops (D, anti-codon, and T loops). RNAcentral also lists the same sequence under 2 other names. Lineage: Eukaryota; Metazoa; Chordata; Mammalia; Artiodactyla; Camelidae. The record is from Rfam by way of RNAcentral.